This 253-nucleotide ribosomal RNA is filed under the name uncultured bacterium. RNAcentral's name for it is "partial 16S ribosomal RNA". It matches the Rfam family "Bacterial small subunit ribosomal RNA", at positions 524 to 776 of the family's 1533-position model. The record is from RNAcentral.
UACAGAGGGUGCGAGCGUUAAUCGGAAUUACUGGGCGUAAAGCGCACGUAGGUGGCGACGUAAGUCGGGUGUGAAAGCCCCGGGCUCAACCUGGGAAUUGCAUUCGAGACUGUGUCGCUGGAGUACGGAAGAGGAAGGCGGAAUUCCCGGUGUAGCGGUGAAAUGCGUAGAUAUCUGGAGGAACACCGGUGGCGAAGGCGGCAUCCUGGACCAUUACUGACACUGAAAAGCGAAAGCCAGGGGAGCAAACGGG